AACAUUGAUAGAACCAGUUUCCAGA
This 25-nucleotide non-coding RNA is filed under the name Cricetulus griseus (Chinese hamster). The record is from RNAcentral. Lineage: Eukaryota; Metazoa; Chordata; Mammalia; Rodentia; Cricetidae.